GCCAUAAGAAAAAAUUAUGGUGUGACCUGCCCAGUGAUAUUUCAACGGCCGCGGUAUCCUGACCGUGAUAAUGUAGCAUAAUCAUUUGUUACUUAAUUAGUAAAUAGUAUGAAUGGUUGAACGAAUUUCCCAUUGUCUCUGAUUAAGAUUUAUGAAAUUAAAAUAAUAGUAAAGAUGCUAUUUUAAAUUGAAAGACGAAAAGACCCUAUAGAGCUUGACUAUAAAUCUGAUUGGUAGUUUAGUUGGGGCGACUGCCUUUUAUUAAUAACAAAGGCAAAUAUGAGAAUAUACUCAAUUUACUGUAUAAUAAAAAAAUUUAACAGUUACAAUAGUAGAUAUAAUGACCUGUUGAGAAACAAUAAAUUGAUAAAAGCUACCUUAGGGAUAACAGAAUAAUUAUUGUUAAGAGAUCGUAUCGAAGUAAUAGUUUGUCACCUCUAUGUUGAAUUAAGAUAUCCUAUAAGAGCAGUCACUUAUGAGGGUAGGUCUGUUCGACCUUUAAAAUCUU
RNAcentral lists this ribosomal RNA (508 nucleotides) under Forskalia edwardsii. Its description in RNAcentral is "partial large subunit ribosomal RNA". It matches the Rfam family "Bacterial large subunit ribosomal RNA", at positions 1833 to 2597 of the family's 2925-position model. Lineage: Eukaryota; Metazoa; Cnidaria; Hydrozoa; Siphonophorae; Forskaliidae. The record is from RNAcentral.